This 1339-nucleotide ribosomal RNA is filed under the name uncultured archaeon. RNAcentral describes it as "16S ribosomal RNA". It matches the Rfam family "Archaeal small subunit ribosomal RNA". The record is from RNAcentral.
UCUGGUUGAUCCUGCCAAAAGGUAACUGCUAUCGAGAUUCGACUAAGCCAUGCGAGUUGAAUGUUCUUCGUGAACAUGGCGGACUGCUCAGUAACACGUGGACAACCUACCCUUGGGUCUGGCAUAAUCCUGGGAAACUGGGGAUAAUUCCGGAUAGGCCACAGAUGCUGGAAUGCGCUGUGGCCGAAAGCUCCGGCGCCCAAGGAUGGGUCUGCGGCCUAUCAGGGUUGUAGUGGGUGUAAUGUACCUACUAGCCUACGACGGGUACGGGUUGUGAGAGCAAGAGCCCGAAGAUGGAUUCUGAGACACGAAUCCAGGCCCUACGGGGUGCAGCGGGCGCGAAAACUUUACGAUGCGGGAAACCGUGAUAAGGGAAUCUCGAGUGCCAGCAUAUAAUGUUGGCUGUCCAGAUGCCUAAAAAGCAUCUGUUAGCAAGGGCCGGGCAAGACCGGUGCCAGCCGCCGCGGUAACACCGGCGGCCCGAGUGGUAACCGCUUUUAUUGGGUCUAAAGGGUCUGUAGCCGGCCAAGUAAGUCCCUUGGGAAAUCUGGCAGCUUAACUGUCAGGCUGCUAGGGGAUACUGCUGGGCUUGGGACCGGGAGAGGUGAGAGGUACCUUGGGGGUAGGGGUGAAAUCUUGUGAUCCUCGGGGGACCACCAGUGGCGAAGGCGUCUCACCAGAACGGGUCCGACGGUAAGGGACGAAAGCUAGGGGCACGAACCGGAUUAGAUACCCGGGUAGUCCUAGCCGUAAACGAUGCUCGCUAGGUGUCAGUCACGGUGGAACCGUGAUUGGUGCCGUAGGGAAGCCGUGAAUCUUACUUCUCAUGGGAAGUAUGGCCGCAAGGCUGAAACUUAAAGGAAUUGGCGGGGGAGCACUACAACGGGUGGAGCCUGCGGUUUAAUUGGAUUCAACGCCGGAAAUCUCACCGGGGGCGACAGCAAUAUGAAGGUCAGGCUGAAGACCUUACCCGAUUAGCUGAGAGGUGGUGCAUGGCCGUCGUCAGUUCGUACUGUGAAGCAUCCUGUUAAGUCAGGCAACGAGCGAGACCCACGUCCACAGUUGCCAGCAUACCCUCCGGGGUGAUGGGUACACUGUGGAGACCGCCGCUGCUAAAGCGGAGGAAGGAGUGGGCGACGGUAGGUCAGUAUGCCCCGAAUCUCCCGGGCUACACGCGGGCUACAAUGGUUGGUACAAUGGGCAUCUACCCCGAAAGGGGAAGGAAAUCUCUUAAAGCCAAUCGUAGUUCGGAUUGAGGGCUGCAACUCGCCCUCAUGAAGCUGGAAUCCGUAGUAAUCGCGUUUCAACAGAACGCGGUGGAUACGUCCCUGCUCCUUGC